This 554-nucleotide small RNA is filed under the name Pan troglodytes (chimpanzee). RNAcentral's name for it is "retained intron". Lineage: Eukaryota; Metazoa; Chordata; Mammalia; Primates; Hominidae. The record is from RNAcentral.
GAGUCCGAGCCGCCGCCGCCGCCAUGAGCUGCCCCGUCCCCGCCUGCUGCGCGCUGCUGCUAGUCCUGGGGCUCUGCCGGGCGCGUCCCCGGAACGCACUGCUGCUCCUCGCGGAUGACGGAGGCUUUGAGAGUGGCGCGUACAACAACAGCGCCGUCGCCACCCCGCACCUGGACGCCCUGGCCCGCCGCAGCCUCCUCUUCCGCAAUGCCUUCACCUCGGUCAGCAGCUGCUCUCCCAGCCGUGCCAGCCUCCUCACUGGCCUGCCCCAGCAUCAGAAUGGGAUGUACGGGCUGCACCAGGACGUGCACCACUUCAACUCCUUCGACAAGGUGCGGAGCCUGCCGCUGCUGCUCAGCCAAGCUGGUGUGCGCACAGGUGAGGACCCCGUGCCAAGGACGGCGUGGGGUGAGGCACAGAGGCCAGGCCAGAGCCCAGGAGGUUCGGCACCUUGUACCAAGGCACCCUCAGCCCCCGUGGCCUGCCCUUAGCUCUUGUCCCAAAGGAUCUGGGCCUGGGUCUCCUGGCUGGGCUGUGUGUCCACGAGAACCCAC